AUGGACACCGCCAUAGGCGCGGCGAGGUGGGUGCUGGAGAAGGCUCUGGCCCCUGUCACGGAUGGUUUGCUGGAGGCCUGGGCAGCUAGCGCGGAUCUCGAUGGCAACAUCGACGCCCUCAAGAUGGAGCUGUUGUAUGCGCAUGGGAUGCUCGAGAAUGCCCAGGGCAGGGGCAUCCGUGGCCUCGCGCUCAAGGAGCUCCUGCGCAAGCUGGAGCAGCUCGCAUACCGGGCUGAUGAUGUGCUGGAUGAGAUGGAGUACUUCCGCAUCCAGGACGCCCUUAAAGGAACUUACCAUGCCACUGACAUGAUCGCUGUGGGUUCCGUUCAGGGCCUCCGCAUCAAUGUUGAACACACGGCGAGGCAUGUCACCAGCAAGCUCAACUGCCUUCCGUGCUUGGGUGCUGCUAGCCGUGAUGGUGACCAAGAAAAUGACCCUGGUGAUCUCCAAGAAAAUUAUUCUGGUGAUCACCAAGAAAAUGUUGGCAAGCAAGGAUGCUUGUAUGGCAGGCGGGGCGUCAGCUCCAAGCAAGGCUGUGUCAAGAAGGUUGGUGGCAGAUGCAUGCCCAAGGUCAUCUCAAGUGCUCGCAACGCUGCCCACACUUUCGGUAAACACUUUCCAUGCUACUCUCCUAUAUCUGUCCACCAUGAUAAUCCUCAAGCCCCUGUGACUGUUCAAAUAGAAAAUGAUAAUCCUCAAGCUAUCAUGCCAGAGGUUGCAAACCAUAGCGAUUGCGAAGAAUUGAAGUUUAAUAGGGUGCAAAUGUCUAAAACGAUGAUGGACAUGGUAGUUCAGCUGAAGGAAGUAUGUGCUAAGGUCUCCAUAAUUCUUAAUCUAGAUUUGUUAGGCUCUAGCCGCACUCGCAUCCAAGAAAUUGCUAUAAACAGAUCCAAAACCACAUUAGAGAUUGUAGAACCUGAGUUUUACGGGAGGGAUGACCAAAAAACGAAAAUUGUAGAUGUUAUUAAUAGUCAUGAGUACUCUUUGAGUCAACUUAACGUGCUUCCAAUUUUUGGAACGGGGGGUAUUGGAAAAACAACUUUUACGCAACACAUAUGCCAAGAAGUCAAUAGCUCUUUCCAGGCUUCAAUUUGGAUAUGUGUCUCUCUCGAUUUUAGUGCAGAUAGGUUGGCAAAAGAGAUAGUCAACAAAAUCGAUAGAGUUGAUGGUGAAAAGGAUAACGCUAGUGCUGAAGAACUUAUUCAACAAAGACUAAAAGGCAAGAGGUUUUUACUUGUCUUGGAUGAUGUGUGGACAUACCGAGAGGAUGAGUGGAAAAAACUAUUAGCACCUUUCAAAAAGGUUGAAUCCAAGGGUAAUUUCAUUAUAGUCACAACUCGAAUACCAAUGGUAGCAGAAAUGGUUAGGACAACCAAUUGCGAACUAGAGCUGGACAGGCUAGAUGAUGCAGAUACCAUGUGUUUCUUCGAAGCAUGUGUAUUUGGUAACGAGCUAGAACCAUGGGGAGAACAUCCUGCUGCAUUACUUGAAACUGGUCACGAAAUAGUGCGCCGUUUGAAAGGUUCCCCUCUUGCAACUAAAACUGUAGGUAGAUUACUACGAAACCUACUUACUUUGGACUAUUGGAAAAGAGUUCUAGAAAGCAAAGAAUGGGAACUAGAAACCAGUGAGAGUGACAUCAUGCCAGCCCUCAAACUUAGCUAUGAUUUUCUCCCUUUCCAUUUAAAACAGUUGUUUGUAUAUUGUGCUUUAUUUCCUGAAGAUUAUGAAUUUGAUAGCAAGGAGUUAGUUCAAUUGUGGGUUGGACUUGGUAUUUUGCGUCCAUGUGACCAGAAUAGAAGGACCGAAGAUGUUGGACUAGACCAUUUGCAUGAGUUGGUCAAUUACGGUUUUUUCAGAAAAGACAAAAAAGAAGAUGGUCGUUAUUUUUAUGUUAUUCAUGAUCUAUUGCACGAAUUGGCCACCAAGGUAUCGUCAGAUGAAUGUGUUAGCAUAUGUAGUUCUAAUGUCAGGUCCAUACACAUCUCCCCAUCUGUACGUCAUUUAUCCAUAAUUGUAGAUGACAAAGAUGUUGAUGAUAGAAUGACUUUCGGCGACUAUAAAGAUGAUUUGCGUGCAUUAGGUAAAAGAUUAAAAGUUGAAAACCUACGUACUCUGAUGUUGUUUAUACGAUAUCAUGGUAGCUUCGCCAAGAUCUUUCGUGAUCUGUUUAAAAAAGCCAAAGCCCUUCGCACUAUUUUUCUAUCUGGAGCAUCAUACUCUAUGGAGGACAUUCUGCAUAAUUUUUCAGAAAACAUCCAUCUUCGUUACCUAAGGAUCGAGCCAUCAGAUAACGCAGGCAACAUCGACUUGCCUAGUAUGCUAUUCCAAUUUUAUCAUCUAGAGAUAAUAAAUCUUGAAAAAUGGAAAGACGCUGUUUCAAUUAGACAUAUCACCAACCUUAUAAAGCUGCGUCAUUUCCUAGUGCCAAAAGGAGAUCCUGAGGGUCAUUCUGACAUAUCUGAGGUGGGAAAACUUAAAUUGCUUUCAGAAUUAAGAAGGUUUGAGGUUGGUAAAGAAAAUACUGGUUUCGAACUAAGUCAGCUAGCGCAAUUAACAGAGCUUGGAGGGUCGCUUAGUAUUUAUAAUCUUGAAAAGGUGCAAGAGAAGGGGGCACGGGGAAAGGAACUAAUUAUAAAACCAAUACAUAGGAACCACUUGCGUGAACUAACAUUAGAGUGGGAUAUGGAAAGAUCUACCAGGGAGCCAAGAAGAGAAGAAAAUGUUCUGGAAAACCUUGCACCACAUAGUGACCUUCGAGAUCUGUGCAUUAGAGGGCACGGAGGUACUAGUUGCCCAACAUGGCUAGGUAAGAACCUCUUGGUCAAAAAUUUGGAAUCUCUUCACUUGGCUGAUGUAUCUUGGAAAACUUUCCCACCAUUAGGAGAGUUCUGGUCGGUCCAUGAGCCCCAUGGUGAGUGCAAGGGUUGCAUUGCAAGCCCAGGCUAUCAAAACUAUUGUCUCAAAAAACAAGGCUUUCAAAAUUUAAAAAAGCUAGUGUUUAUUAAGAUACCAAAACUGACAAACUGGGCUGCAAAUCAAACUUGUGGUUUUUUCUUCCACCUGGAAGUGCUCAUUAUUGAAGACUGCCAUGAACUUGUGGAGUUGCCAUUUUCAUGUUGUACUUGCUCCCAACCAGAGCAAGAAGUAGCGAACAUGACUUGGUUCUCUAGACUACGGGAGCUCAAGAUUGUAAGAUUCCCAAACCUAAGGACAAUACCUCCUAUCCCUUGGACCCGUACUCUAUGCUCCAUUGAGAUAGCACAAACAGGCUCAAAUUUUAAGAAGCUCACUUACUCGGAAAGAUGGUACGGAAGACCAGGAUUAAGGUUGGAAAUUUGGGCGGCGGAUGGUGCAGAUGGCUUGUUUUGGAAUGAGUUUGCUUUCGGUAAUUUGCGUGAUCUAAAAGAGUUGACUAUAACUAAUUGCCCUCCUUUGCCCUUGGGUAUCGUACAAAUGCUAACAUCUCUGCAGUCCCUCACUAUAAGUGGUUAUUCGAGUAUUGUCCUAUCACCAAUCGGAGGCGAGAGCCAUGUCCUGUACCAGAUUCCAGUUGAAGAACUCUGCAUUUCUGAAAGUGGUGGUGGCGGGAAAGAAUUGACUCAACUGCUCUCUCAGUUCCCGAAGCUCACCGGCCUGCAAAUAGAAAGGUGUGAAAAGAUGACAGAACUUGGUGUGUCGGAGUGGCAGAGUGGAAAACACCAGCAAGAGACAAAAGACGAGGAGGAAAUAGUGGCGAUGGCAGAAGGAGGACUGCUGCUCUUGCCUACCCAACUACAGGAGUUGAAGCUCCGAAGUUGCGCUCAGCUGAGAAUACUCCCCAGUUCAUGUUCAGGGGGCGACAACAAGGAAGCAGCAGCAGGAGGUCUCCAGCGUCUACGCUCCCUCCGCCAAUUGCGUGUAGAGAAUUGCCCCAAUUUGCUUUCCUCAUAUUCGGACUCCUCGUCUUGUUUCCCUUUCCCGAGCUCUCUGGAAGAACUCACUCUAUUCGGCCUGGAAGAACUCACAAACCUAAGAGUUAGCCGUUCCUCAAUACUACAUACCCUAUCCAUAGAGGACUCCUCCGGAGUUCUGUCGGUGUCCAUCUGCAGCCUCCUCUCUUCCUCCCUCACCACAUUGACCUUUCUUGGUAGCAAAGAGGUGGAGCCCAUACCAGAAGAGGCCCUCCGGCUUCUCACCUCCCUCCAAGAUCUCACAUUUCUUUGUUGCGACAAAUUGCAGAUCCUCCCGGCAGGUCUAAAGAGACUUGCCAGCAUCAAGAACUUACGUUUCUUUUCAUGCAACUCUCUCCAUUCGCUUCCCAUGGACGGCCUCCCGAGUUCUUUGCACAGCUUAUUAUUCUACGGAUGUUCCAUGAAAUCAUUGCCCAAGGACAGCCUCCCGAGUUCUCUGCAGGAAUUAGAGAUCUCAGGUUGUUCUGAACUCGAAUUACUUCCCACUUUUUCGGACGGCCACCCGAGUUCUCUACAGGAAUUAAAGAUAUGGAAUUGUCCUGCCAUCAAAUCGGUGCCCAAGGACGCCCUCCCGAAUUCUCUUCAGGAAUUAGAGAUCAGUUACUGUCCUGACAUCAAAUCGCUUCCAGAGGACGGGCUCCCUGAANCCCUGCGAGUACUAAACGUCAGUGUAGGCAAUAGCGAGGAGCUUAAAAGGCAGUGCCGCAGGUUAACAGGGACAAUUCCAAUAAUCAGAGCCUGA
Molecule: ribosomal RNA, 4695 nt
Filed under: Triticum aestivum (bread wheat)
Lineage: Eukaryota; Viridiplantae; Streptophyta; Magnoliopsida; Poales; Poaceae
Description: partial small subunit ribosomal RNA
Source: RNAcentral